Molecule: long non-coding RNA, 1759 nt
Filed under: Mytilus galloprovincialis (Mediterranean mussel)
Lineage: Eukaryota; Metazoa; Mollusca; Bivalvia; Mytilida; Mytilidae
Source: RNAcentral
GUUAAUCAUUGUCACAUUAACCAAUUAAUUUCUAUUUGGGUUGAUACCCAAUUGUGUCAAUAAAACGGAACUGUAAACAACUGACAUACAAGAGGGAGGUUUAGCAAGCUUUAAAACCAGGUUUUAUCCACAAUUUUCUUCAGAAAACGUCUAUACCAAGGAAUAUGACAGUUGUUUUCGAUUCGUUUGGUUGGUUAAUAAACUGAAACGUUUGAUUUUGUCAGUUUUUAUGGACUUUCCUCUUUUAAAAAAUUUACAUUUGAGUACGCCAUUUUUUAUUUACAUGUUAAACUCAUUAAAGCAGUUUAAAGCACACACAAAACAUAACAAAAAUAUAAAGGAUUCGAGUAUCGAACUAAAAGUAUUGAAGGCUAUACUCACAAUUCCGACUAAUAAAUGAGCCAUGAUCUUCAAAACUGAAAUAUCAACUAAUACACAUGUACGGAUUUAGAGUAAAACUUGUUGAACAGAUCAUCGAGACUUAAGAAUUGACAGGAUGUUGAUCUGUUAGUUUUUAGGAAGGAACAGUAAUGCAUGCUUAGUUAUAUAGGACAUGUUGAAAAUCAAAUAAAGUUUUUGAAUUAAGUUGAAGUCAACUUUUUCCUAAUCCAAUUAUAACUACUACACAUCUUCAUACCAAAGAUUUUGGCAUGACAGGUACUUGUAAAUAUCUAGAUACUACAGUGACAUGACAUUGACUUGAUUAUAUCUAGAUUCUACAGUGGCAUAACUUUGAUUUUAUAAUAUCUAGUUACUACAGUGUCAUGACAUGGACUUUAUAAUAUCUAGAUACUACAAUGGGAUAACAUGGACUUGAUAAUAUCUAGAUACUACAGUGGCAUAACAUAGACUAUAUAAUAUCUAGAUACUACAGUGGCAUGACAUGGACUUGCUAAUAUCUGGAUACUGCAGUGGCAUGACAUGGACUUGAUAAUAUCUAGAUACCACAGUUCAAAAGUGUAUAUACAUCUGAACACCAUAUCAAUUCUUUAAUAUCAUUUUUGUAAUCUUUAGCAUAUAACGACCUUCAGAAUAAUUCACUUAUUGUUUUUGAAUCGGCGGUAUGUAGAACAUAUCAAAGAUCAUGUCACUGCUUUGUCUAGGGUUAGCCUUUUUGAAUUCAUUAUUCCUCUUUAACAUUUUUUUGGAAUUUAUUGAAACAUUCCUGGACCAUUAACCAUAUAAAAUUGCAACUCUCGGUUUUUUAUUGUAAUUCUAUGUAGGUCUCUUUUAGCAAACCAUGGCCGUUUCCAAAGCUUCAAGUCAGUUAGGUACAUCGUGCAUGAAUAUAUCACAAUGAAUCGAAACGGUGUUGACAUAAAUGUAUGGAACGAAAGUGUUUCGGGCAACAAGGUUGUUCGAAGUGCGGGAAUAUUUUAACUGACCAAUCACAUUCAGGCAUUUGUAGCUUAGCUCAUCAUAUAAGAAUUCUGUAUAGUAAAAUACACAUUCCGCAUUAUAUCAUUUUCAUGAUAUCUGGGAAAGUAAAUGAACUUAUUUUUGUAAUCAUAAUCCAUAGAAAACAUUUCAGCAUUCUGUCGAACAAGUAGAGUUGAAUUGCUGGUUUUAAGAUCAAGCUCCAUAAUGGAACAAAUCAUUUAGUAUAUCAAUUACCAAUAACAUUAACGAUACUAAUUUUUCUUCGCCAGAUGCGCAUUUCACAUAUGUAACAAAUGUUAUGUUCUUUUACUAUCAACGUUUUUUCGGUCAUAGAUCACUGAGCCGUCAAUCUGAUUCUAAGACAGAUGACAACGACACG